This is a long non-coding RNA of Boleophthalmus pectinirostris (great blue-spotted mudskipper), 574 nucleotides long. RefSeq lists it as uncharacterized. The transcript has 3 exons. NCBI's taxonomy places the organism in Eukaryota, Metazoa, Chordata, Actinopteri, Gobiiformes, Gobiidae. The record is from RefSeq and is a predicted model, not a curated record.
UCCGCAUUGAUGUGAAACCCUGCUUCUGCCCGUCUCGGUUUGAAGUUGGAGAAAGAAAUAGGUUUGACUAAACUCCAGAGAGUGUGAAGUAAAAUCCACCACGCUGCUCCACCGUAUAAUUUCCCAGUGGUCUUGGCUGUUUCUUCUCUCACAUGCACGCUCCUGUUUUUCUCCCCUCUUCCCCUCAUUGCAAAAUGAAUCAUGGAUCCAGCCGCGUGCACCCGAGGGAGAGCAGCGAGCUGACCAAUCAUGAGCAUCAGAAACACACACACAAACGCAGUCAGCCUUUUGUUGUGUGGCUCAUCAACUCUGAAGACAACUACCCGUUUGAACAAGAGGAAAUCAAAACUCCAGUGGUCAGUGUGACUCUGUCCGAGUGGGUGGCAGACUCCAGCGUCAUUCACAGUGUCAGCUGGGACCAGAGUGCCCUCCUAUUCCCAGGCUGGCCAACCCUAUGUGAAGCCUCCUGACAGUUUCAGGUUAGCCCCGUCUCCCCUCUCUCCUCUACCCCUUCAGCUCUGCUCAGUGCUUCUCCCAAGGGCCCCGCUGAGAAUACUGCUCAGAUCCAGGCCUC